RNA transcript from Camelus dromedarius (Arabian camel), 1880 nucleotides. It is a transcript of the gene named coiled-coil domain containing 167, with no coding region annotated. The record is from RefSeq and is a predicted model, not a curated record. Lineage: Eukaryota; Metazoa; Chordata; Mammalia; Artiodactyla; Camelidae. The transcript has 5 exons.
UGGUGGGCGCGUCCAAUAAUGACUGCGGGAUUCCGGCAAGUAACAUGACUAAAAAGAAGCGGGAGAAUCUGGGCGUCGCUGUAGAGAUUGAUGGGUUGGAGGAGAAGCUGUCACAGUGUCGGAGAGACCUGGAGGCUGUCAACUCCAGGCUCUAUGGGGCGGAGCUGAGCCCAGAGGCCAGGAGGUCUCUGGAGAAGGAGAAAAACAGCCUGAUGAACAAAGCCUCCAACUAUGAGAAGGAGCUAAAGUUGCUUCGGCAGGAGAACCAGAAGAACACACUGCUCUCUGUGGCCAUCUUCAUCCUCCUGACUCUUGUCUACGCCUACUGGACCAUGUAAGCCUGAGAUUUCUCCACAGUCGGCGCAGGGUUCCCUUCAGCUCUGAGGUCAUGGCCAAGCAGGCCCAUCAAGCCUCAAGAAGACCAAGUCCAUGCCACACUGCCUGUGAUUAUGGCAGGAAAAAAUCUGGCCUGCGCAGCAAAGGGCAGCCUGGGGACUUGAAGGGCUCGUGUGGUGGACCCACAGGAGUGCAGAAUUAAUCCAUCUUCAGGAGGCAGACAAGGCUGGUGAGGCCUGGCAGAGCCAGUGAGCAGCAAAAGCCAUGGUAAUGACCAGACUUAAGGUAAGCGGCCAGUAAACCAGGAGGGGUUUGCAGAGGGGCAAACACAGAUAUCAUCUGGUGCCCCCGAGCACAGCCCCCAAUUCUACUCCCAGCACAGGGGCCAGGAGGGCAACCAAAAGGAUGGGGGGGCUUGGGAGCCAAGAGCACACCAAUUAAGUUAGUAAAAGCAUGGAAAGGGGUUGCCCUGGGAGCUAAGGCUGUGAAACGUUAAGGGAAGGACACUCAGGGUCAGGGUGACGGAGCCAAGCAACACGUAGAUACCAGGCUGUAGGGGAGAACCUGCACCAGAGUGAUGGGACUGCUGGAGAGACGCUAGCCUAGAGCAGAGAGGGAGAGAGGCGCCAGGCGCAGAGCGGAGGAAAGGCUGGCCGGGGUCAGGGAAACCGUCCCUCCCUCUCUUUCCCUGUCUAGUGGCACUAAUUGGUCUGACGCCUCUGUUAUUUUAGUCACAGACUGAUCCUGGAUUGUCACAGUGCCACAUGGAGUAAGCUGUGUGAUUUAUAUAAAGGGGAAGGUGCCUCCCUGCCCUGCUGGGCUGUAGGAUCAUUCAUUCUCCAGUCCCUGCUCUGACCAGGUGCUGCAUCAUUCCCCAGCUCUUCCUUGGGCCCCUCUCUAGCAGCAAGCAGCAGCCUUGGGAGUCCUGAGCUUGGACAAGGCUCUGACUAAGCAAACCGUCUUUUCUCCCCUUUUCUUUAAGUAGCGCUUCCUCCCCCUCACCUCCAGUCCAAGCUGUUUCAUCCAAGUGAGUCCCAGACCACAAUGCACCAAGGACAAACAGCAGCAGCCCCUGUACAAAGCCACACAGGUAUUAAAAAUAUGUUUAUCUUUAAUGAGCUAAGAUUCUGCAAGACACACUGAUUUACCCAGAACUGGGUGGAAAUAACAGCAUCUCAGCUGUGCUGCUGACAAUGUGGGGGGAGGGGCCAGAGACCCCUGAGGUGGAGUCAGUUCUAACCUCAGGAGCCUCUGUACCCGAGCUCCAUGGAAACCAGUCUAGCACUGGGAUGGGGCCCUAGGGAGCCCAUAUGAGCAUCUCUGAGAGGUAUUUCCCAUUAAAAACAACCACAGGUGCCCCACCCACCCACCCAAAGCUACAGCCCAGCUUCCCCUCUUCCCCUUCUGCCUGCCGAGACAGAGGAAAUGGAGUGACCACGCAAGGACAAACAAAAGCAACAGUAUCUCUUAUUGGGGAAGAAGAACAAAGGGGGCGGGUAGCAAGGUGGCUGGGGAAAUAGGGGUGCCAUGACUGGCAGAGGACU